This is a long non-coding RNA of Prosopis cineraria, 739 nucleotides long. RefSeq lists it as uncharacterized. The transcript has 3 exons. Lineage: Eukaryota; Viridiplantae; Streptophyta; Magnoliopsida; Fabales; Fabaceae. The record is from RefSeq and is a predicted model, not a curated record.
UCUCCUUCUCCCCUGCCAUCUCCAACUACUUGAGGUGUGAGAGAGAGAGAGUGUGUGAGUGAGUUCUGGCCAGGCUUCGAGUUUUGUCUCUCCUCCUUCUCUUUCUUCAAUCACGUUCUGAGUUGCAGAGAGGGUUGAGAUCAAAACUCUGGACUUUUUCGUCACGUGUUAUCUGACUCCAUCUCUCUCUGUUAUCCUACCCUUACCACCGGCGAAAUGGGAGCUCGUUACUCCCGAACGAAGCCAGGUCCUCAGUUGUGCUUCCUGUCUCUGUUUUUCUCGUCUGCUGCUGUCUUCGUUCACGUCACGGAUGGGCGAGAGAAAUCAAUCCGUUGGUAAUGCUGGUGCUGAUCGUGAGAUUUUCCUGCUUGAUCUGGAGCUUGACAAAGUCGCAGAUCCUUUUUAUUUCCCAUAAAGCAUCACUGUUGGACGUUUGCUUCCCCUGUUCAGCGUCCAAGUUUCCUCUUCUUCUCUUUUGUGAUGAUGGUGAUUUAAGAUAUGUCAGCCGAGGUUAUGUCUUCCGUAAAUCCUAAAAGGGCUGUAAUAUUCAGUUGAGAGGAAAAGCUGAAAUCAAACUUCUUUAAAGUAAAUUUCUUAUGUCAGGUGCUCCACAUAAGCUAUAGUUAGGGUCCUCAUCCUUAUGAUUCACACUUUGUUAUUUGCUGAUUGGAAAAGAGUUCCUUGCUGCUACUUUUGUUUUGUAAAAUAUUUGUAAAUUUGUUUUUGAGAGAUUUAUUUU